UGUUUUCUCUCUAAUCCGUCUUGUGUUUGUUGGUUUUUUCUGUUUCUAUUGCAUCCGUGUACUGUUUACCUGACACUGUGGUUUCUAUGAUUCUUUCGUUUGGUGCAACUCUUGAUUGCACCCCAUCUUGUUAUUCUAACUGGUUUGUUGAGUUUUUGUGAGGGCUGACAUGAAUCUUGAAGAGAUAGCUUGCUUGGUAUUCC
RNAcentral lists this long non-coding RNA (203 nucleotides) under Lathyrus oleraceus (garden pea). RNAcentral's name for it is "Pisum sativum (pea) long non-coding RNA (PSAT_LNC042115)". The record is from RNAcentral. Lineage: Eukaryota; Viridiplantae; Streptophyta; Magnoliopsida; Fabales; Fabaceae.